This 69-nucleotide transfer RNA is filed under the name Marmota marmota marmota (Alpine marmot). It matches the Rfam family "tRNA". Rfam says of the family: Transfer RNA (tRNA) molecules are approximately 80 nucleotides in length. Their secondary structure includes four short double-helical elements and three loops (D, anti-codon, and T loops). Further hydrogen bonds mediate the characteristic L-shaped molecular structure. tRNAs have two regions of fundamental functional importance: the anti-codon, which is responsible for specific mRNA codon recognition, and the 3' end, to which the tRNAs corresponding amino acid is attached (by aminoacyl-tRNA synthetases). tRNAs cope with the degeneracy of the genetic code in two manners: having more than one tRNA (with a specific anti-codon) for a particular amino acid; and 'wobble' base-pairing, i.e. permitting non-standard base-pairing at the 3rd anti-codon position. The record is from Rfam by way of RNAcentral. Lineage: Eukaryota; Metazoa; Chordata; Mammalia; Rodentia; Sciuridae. RNAcentral also lists the same sequence under 2 other names.
GGGGCUGUAGCUCAGUGGUAGAGCACCUGCCUUGCACGUGUGAGGCACUGGGUUCAAUCCUCAGCACCA